AGAACCUUCGACUAAGGUUCGACUCGAGCGCCAGCGAGAGAACGUUGCCACAGGCAACGGCCCGAAGGGCGAGGAGCGAUAGCGACGAGUU
This 91-nucleotide small RNA is filed under the name Klebsiella variicola. RNAcentral's name for it is "RtT RNA". It matches the Rfam family "RtT RNA", at positions 25 to 112 of the family's 130-position model. Rfam says of the family: This family represents a bacterial cis-regulatory element known as RtT RNA. The exact function of RtT is unknown although it is thought that it may be involved in changing the cellular response in relation to amino acid starvation. The record is from RNAcentral. Lineage: Bacteria; Pseudomonadati; Pseudomonadota; Gammaproteobacteria; Enterobacterales; Enterobacteriaceae.